UGAUAGAGGUUGCGUGAUUUAAGAGUAGUUUUUCGGAUGCGGCAGAGGCAGAGGAUGGAAAAUGAAAGGAAAGAACGCCGAAGGAGUGUAUUUGCUGCAGAUAUAUUCCUGGGCAUAAGGUAAAGAAUCUUAUGACUGUCAUCUUAAGAAAGAUGGGGCGCUAUCGGA
RNAcentral lists this non-coding RNA (168 nucleotides) under uncultured Roseburia sp. Its description in RNAcentral is "Lysine riboswitch". It matches the Rfam family "Lysine riboswitch aptamer". Rfam says of the family: Riboswitches are metabolite binding domains within certain messenger RNAs that serve as precision sensors for their corresponding targets. Allosteric rearrangement of mRNA structure is mediated by ligand binding, and this results in modulation of gene expression. Lineage: Bacteria; Bacillati; Bacillota; Clostridia; Lachnospirales; Lachnospiraceae. The record is from RNAcentral.